Molecule: non-coding RNA, 74 nt
Organism: Podarcis muralis (Common wall lizard)
Lineage: Eukaryota; Metazoa; Chordata; Lepidosauria; Squamata; Lacertidae
Source: the annotation of a RefSeq genome assembly
GCCUGGAUAGCUCAGUUGGAUAGAGUGUGGUGCUGGGAACGCCAAGGUUGCAGGUUUGAUGCCUGCAUGGGGCA